CCUACGGGAGGCAGCAGUGAGGAAUAUUGGUCAAUGGCCGGAAGGCUGAACCAGCCAAGCCGCGUGAAGGACGUAGGUGCCAAGCAUUGUAAACUUCUUUUGUCAAGGGACAAAAUCAGGCUCGAGAGCCUGACCGAGGGUACUUGAAGAAAAAGCAUCGGCUAACUCCGUGCCAGCAGCCGCGGUAAUACGGAGGAUGCGAGCGUUAUCCGGAUUUAUUGGGUUUAAAGGGAGCGUAGAUGGGUUGUUAAGUCAGUUGUGAAAGUUUGCGGCUCAACCGUAAAAUUGCAAUUGAUACUGGCAGCCUUGAGUACAGUUGAGGUAGGCGGAAUUCGUGGUGUAGCGGUGAAAUGCAUAGAUAUCACGAGGAACCCCGAUUGCGAAGGCAGCCUGCCGGGGUGCGACUGACGCUGAGGCUCGAAGGUGCGGGUAUCAAACAGGAUUAGAUACCCGAGUAGUC
This 460-nucleotide ribosomal RNA is filed under the name uncultured bacterium. Its description in RNAcentral is "partial 16S ribosomal RNA". It matches the Rfam family "Bacterial small subunit ribosomal RNA", at positions 338 to 795 of the family's 1533-position model. The record is from RNAcentral.